Molecule: long non-coding RNA, 857 nt
Filed under: Marmota monax (woodchuck)
Lineage: Eukaryota; Metazoa; Chordata; Mammalia; Rodentia; Sciuridae
Source: RNAcentral
CUCCCAUCACCCUGGCCCAAUCGCCAUAGCUCCUCACCAACACUUAAUUUCAGAAGCUUCCUCAUUGGCCUCCCUGUUUUUGCCCCUAUCCCUUUGCAGCCUAUUCUGGAAAGUCAGAGUAAUUGUUUUUAUGCUCAUAGAUCAUGUCCUGCCUAGGCUUAAAGAUCCCCAACUUUUCUUCAGCCGCUCAGAGACAAGUUCACGCCUAAGGUUUUACCAGGCCCUUGGUCCUCUGGCCUCCUGUCAUUUCUCUGGUCCCUCUGCACUGGCUCACUGUCUCUUACCUUUGCACUUGAUUUUCUCUUUCUGCUUGGAAUAAUCUUUUAUCAGAUGUACUUGACUCCAAGCUCCUAAGGCUCUCUGUUCAAAUGUCGGCUUGUGGGUGAAAACGCUGUGAUCACUCUAUUUAAGAUUGUUUCUCCACCGUUCCCUGUGUGUUAUAUCCCACUCCCAGCUUUCCUUUCCUUUCAGCACCCUCCCUCCCCCACACACUCUGAAGUGUGUAGAAGAUAGGAUUUCUUCAUGCUCCUGCCCCAUCCUCCAGUGUGUCAACUCCUGGAGGUCAAGGAGUUUUCUCCUUCAGUACUACAGCUUCAGCAUCUAGAAGAAUACUCUGCAAAUUGCAGGUGAUCAGUAAAUCUUCAUUAAAUGGGGGGAAAAUAAGGCUUUAUAUUGUACCUGGUCUUUCAAUGGGACAAAAUAUUUGGAAUCAAGAUUUAGUAUGGUUACCUUCCAAGAAUGACUUUUCACAGGACUGGACUUUUCGGUGGCAGAGUGCUUUGCUAACAUGCUCAGGGCCCUGGUUUCAAUUCUUACCACUGCCGGAAAAAAGUUUUGCUUAGAAACUUAAAAUCUUC